RNAcentral lists this long non-coding RNA (1041 nucleotides) under Coturnix japonica (Japanese quail). RNAcentral's name for it is "lncRNA (ENSCJPG00005004444.1)". The record is from RNAcentral. Lineage: Eukaryota; Metazoa; Chordata; Aves; Galliformes; Phasianidae.
CGUGGAGUCCUCAGCACAGCAGAGACUUUCCCUGCUUCUCCCGGCACUUUCCCUGCUAUAGCAGCCACCAUCCCCCAGCUGGAAUCUUCAUGGAGAUACCACCACCUAGUGUUAAACGUGGGGCUGGAGGACAAGGAAACGGGGCGCUCAGAGCAGCUUCAGGGCUGUGCUCCAUCACAGGGGACACAGCCUCACGUUCAGCCUUUCACCCACCAGGACCCCCAGGUCCUUCUCCGCAGGGAGUCCCUACUGGUAUCUGGGAUUACUCCAAGUGGAAACCCCUUGUUGUCCCCUCCAUAUCCCCUUCACUCUCCACACCUCCUGUAUCACACCCCUAGAGGGCACCUGUCCCUCCCAGCAGCCUUAUACCGAGCCCCGAUAAUCCCCACACCCCCACAGCAUCUCUGCCUCUCCCCAAACCCCCCAGUGCCCCACCUCGAGUCCAACCCCCUGCACAUCCCCUAUAGACCCCCACCAACCUCCAGACCCCCACCAUCAGCCCUCGGACCCCCUUCGAUCCCCAUCUCUCCGCUGCUGAGGGCGGCGUUAGGACCGCGCGGUUCGCACCUGUGGCCCGGGGCGAGGCAGGUACCGGCUGCGGUUCUGCCCCCCGCUCCGCCCCCCGGACGACACCUGCGGCCCCGGACCCGCAGCAGCCGCUGUUACGGAGCGGGUGAGUGGGGCGGUUCGGGGCUGUUUGUGGUUCCGCUGUUCGUGUUUUGGUGUCGGUUUGAGUCUCCGUUCCUCUCCCGCUCUCGGGUCCCCGCUCGCUCGGUCCCAGUUUUCGGUCUCAGUUUCGGGUUCCGGUUGCGGCUCCUCGGUGCUCGGUCCCGGUCUUGGGCUCUCGGUUUUCGGAUCCUUGUUCCGGAUCCCGGUCCUGGUCCCGGUCUCGGUUUUGGGUCUUCACACCCGGUCCUGGCUUGGUGGUCUCCCGGGUCUGUAGUCUUUGGGGUCCCCGGUCUUUGUGGUCCCCCAGGGCUGCCAUCUUUGGGGGUCCCCAGUCUUUCGGGUCCCCCUGGGUCCCCAGUCUUCGAGGUCUGA